CUUGAGACCAAGCACAUGGAGUCCUUGAAGUCAAGUUACUCUGCUACGAGCCUCCAAAAUGAACAGGUAGAUUGGACAGGUCUUGUGUGCACAGUAACACCUACUGAUCUACCUACAACA
This is a non-coding RNA of Suncus etruscus (white-toothed pygmy shrew), 120 nucleotides long. RefSeq annotates it as small Cajal body-specific RNA 15. Lineage: Eukaryota; Metazoa; Chordata; Mammalia; Eulipotyphla; Soricidae. The record is from RefSeq and is a predicted model, not a curated record. The transcript has a single exon.